Molecule: ribosomal RNA, 239 nt
Filed under: uncultured bacterium
Lineage: Bacteria
Description: partial 16S ribosomal RNA
Rfam family: Bacterial small subunit ribosomal RNA
Source: RNAcentral
UUAGUCCUACGGGGGGCAGCAGUGGGGGAUAUUGGACAAUGGGGGAAACCCUGAUCCAGCGAUGCCGCGUGAGGGAAGAAGGUUUUCGGAUUGUAAACCUCUGUGGACAGGGACGAUAAUGACGGUACCUGACUAAGAAGCCCCGGCUAACUACGUGCCAGCAGCCGCGGUAAUACGUAGGGGGCAAGCGUUAUCCGGAUUUACUGGGCGUAAAGGGAGCGUAGACGGCGAUGCAAGUC